Molecule: ribosomal RNA, 300 nt
Filed under: uncultured Coxiellaceae bacterium
Lineage: Bacteria; Pseudomonadati; Pseudomonadota; Gammaproteobacteria; Legionellales; Coxiellaceae
Description: bacterial SSU rRNA
Rfam family: Bacterial small subunit ribosomal RNA
Source: RNAcentral
CGCGUAGGAAUCUGCCUUGAAGCGGGGGACGAACCCGAGGAAACUCGGGCUAAUACCGCAUAAUCUCGAGAGAGCAAAGCUGGGUGGUAACACCUGGCACUUCAAGAGGAGCCUGCGUCCGAUUAGCUAGUUGGUAGGGUAAAAGCCUACCAAGGCGAUGAUCGGUAGCUGGUCUGAGAGGAUGAUCAGCCACACUGGGACUGAGACACGGCCCAGACUCCUACGGGAGGCAGCAGUGGGAAUAUUGGACAAUGGGGGCAACCCUGAUCCAGCAAUGCCGCGUGUGUGAAGAAGGCCUUA